CUAACACAUGCAAGUCGAACGAAGUAGCAAUACUUAGUGGCAGACGGGUGAGUAACAUGUGGGUAUCUACCCUUUGGCCUGGAAUAACACGAGGAAACCUGUGCUAAUACCGGAUAAGUCCUAACGGAGAAAGUUUUAAUGCCAAAAGAUGAGCCCGCACUUGAUUAGCUAGUUGGUAAGGUAAUGGCUUACCAAGGCAACGAUCAGUAGCUGGUCUGAGAGGAUGGACAGCCACAUUGGGACUGAGACACGGUCCAGACUCC
RNAcentral lists this ribosomal RNA (263 nucleotides) under uncultured bacterium. RNAcentral describes it as "partial 16S ribosomal RNA". It matches the Rfam family "Bacterial small subunit ribosomal RNA", at positions 48 to 339 of the family's 1533-position model. The record is from RNAcentral.